RNAcentral lists this ribosomal RNA (253 nucleotides) under uncultured bacterium. RNAcentral's name for it is "partial 16S ribosomal RNA". It matches the Rfam family "Bacterial small subunit ribosomal RNA", at positions 524 to 776 of the family's 1533-position model. The record is from RNAcentral.
UACGAAGGGGGCUAGCGUUGUUCGGAUUUACUGGGCGUAAAGCGCACGUAGGCGGAUCGUUAAGUCGGGGGUGAAAUCCUGGAGCUCAACUCCAGAACUGCCUUCGAUACUGGCGAUCUCGAGUCCGGAAGAGGUGAGUGGAACUCCUAGUGUAGAGGUGGAAUUCGUAGAUAUUAGGAAGAACACCAGUGGCGAAGGCGGCUCACUGGUCCAGUACUGACGCUGAGGUGCGAAAGCGUGGGGAGCAAACAGG